UUCCCAAAACAAGUGUGCUCCCUUCAGAAAUACAGUCCUUGGAGUAGGAGGCUAACAGAGCUAAGGUGAAGGAUCUAAAACCUGAAAAGAGGCCAAAUGAUUCCUCAAAACCACGCAAGUACGAAGUAGCAGAGCGGAUCUCAAAUCCAGAGCACUGCGUGUUUUGAAAUAUACAAAUAGUGGGAAACGAAAUCUUUGUUCUGGAUGCAGUUAUAAUUUGGAAAGCGAGGAAAUAAAUUAUAACAAGGGGAAAAAACAGACACAGAGGGAUUGAAAUGCAUAACAAUAGAGAUGAAACACGAAGAGUGAUAAAUGAAGAUUGAGUGUGCACACCUUCUGGAGGAGCCCUGAUUGAGUAUUUUAAAAUACUACUAAAGUCAUGCCGUGUGACUUCUGAAGCUAGCUCCUAAGAAGUCCUUGCAGCUUCUGCCUGCGACUCUUAGAACACUUGCUUUGAAGGAUGCCAGAUGCUGUCUUAAAAGUCUGAGCACUCUGAAACCAUCAUGCUGUGAGGAAGCCCAAGCUAACCACAUGGGCAAAAAAGAUGCCCUCUGACUGCCACCAUUUGAGACACUCUAAUUAAGAACUGCCUCAUUGAGCCCAUGAGGCCCUGUGAAUGAUAAUAAUAAAUUGUUUUUAACCACUAUGUUUUUGGAUUUGUUAUAAGUUUAUAGAUAACAAGAAAAAGUUAUAUUAGCAUGGUAAUAAAAUUAUGGAUAUGUGUAAGUUUGGUGUUUUGUUUCUUUUUUUUUUUUACACUAAGCCUAUAUUACUGUUGUAAUUUAGGAAAUCACUUGUUUUCCUCCAGCACUUCAAUGUAAGAGUGGCACUACUUAGAAUGUACUUCUUAAGAUAUGGCUGUACAUAGAACAAAUUAUUCACCAUGAUUUCCUUAGCAUCCAACAGAAUACCUGAGUGUAGUAGAUGCUUAGUAAAUAGUUGUUGAAUAAUUGACAUAUGGGAGAGUGCUGGAUAAACUCUUUGAGAAUGACAUUAUCUACUUCGAUUUAUGUGAGUCUGGCAUCAUAUUUUUUUUGCUGUCUUUAAAGAAACCAAGAAGAAAG
Molecule: long non-coding RNA, 1064 nt
Filed under: Homo sapiens (human)
Lineage: Eukaryota; Metazoa; Chordata; Mammalia; Primates; Hominidae
Description: HSALNT0349709
Source: RNAcentral